GCGAAGGUGGGAGGCGGCAGUGCCAACCCCAGGGCAGGAUUUCUCCGCUGAAGAGAGGUAGACCCUGAGAGUACCCUCCCCUUGGGAACAUCACGGAUCUGCGCCGCCUCCACCAGGCUGGCCUCAGGGGCUGCUCCCUCGAGUACCCUGGCCCUGCUGGACCGUGGCUGGGGAUGGCAGCAAGGAGAUGGACAUGGCACUCCCAGAGCCGUGGCUGCUGCAGGUGCUCAAAGGGCUGCUGCGAGAACAGAGGGAGAGCUCUCCAAACCCCAGCACGGUUCUCAGUCAUCAUGAGACCGGAACACAGAGGCCCACACACGACCGCUGGACAUGUUUAAGAAAAUGCCAAUGUAUUUCCACUAGAAAAAUCCUCUUUUCCUAAAUACAUGUCUCUAUGUUGAAUAAGUUAAAAUAGCAUCUCC
RNAcentral lists this long non-coding RNA (422 nucleotides) under Homo sapiens (human). Its description in RNAcentral is "HSALNT0049848". The record is from RNAcentral. Lineage: Eukaryota; Metazoa; Chordata; Mammalia; Primates; Hominidae.